GGGGAGCAGUGAGCACGUUGCAUGCAUUUGGAGAGAAACAGACGCUAUCGACCCGAGAGUAAAAGAGAGGAGGCAUCGUGGUGUGGGGAGCAUUUCAGUUUUUAUCGUGGAGGUCGACUACUCAUGGUCCUGAUAUACACGUCUACUAAACAAAACCCUGGUUUCUACUGCAGUUAUCUGUAGACAUGGCUGGCAGUUAUCUGUAGACAUGGCUGGCAGAUCGGAUGCCAACACCCCUCAUAGCGGAGAGCCUGAUGAUGAACUGGGGGAACUUGAUAACAUCUUGGCUGAUUUGCAAGAUGAAUCAGAGAAAUAUGGGGCUGGUACUAAAGCCAAGAGGAAGAAGCCUGAGAAACUUGUGAGGUGGAAGAAAAGGGACCAGUACGGACGUCUGAUUGCUGAGACUCAACAAUCUUCAGGAGGAGCUGGUCCCUCUUCCCGGCCUAAGGACACCUGUCCAGUGCAUAUGGUCCCAUGUCCUGAUGAUGCUUCAAACUAUGCACCGUUACAAGUGCAGUUACAAGAAACACACAAGGCACUUGACACACAGCUUCAGUUGCUGCAAGAAAGCCUUGAAGAUGAUCCUUUGGCCUGUUCAGAAGGAAGAGAGAUGUUGACUCGAACCUGGGAUAUGCGGCAAACACACUCGGAAGAGAAAUGGGAGAAUGCCAGGCCUAACCUUUUGGAGUCGAUGUUGUCAGCAGAGUGGACACUGGAUCAGUCCUGUGACCACUGCCACACAAAACGGGCUGUGAUUAGAUGUCGAGACUGCCUGCCCAAACACCUUUUCUGCAGUGACUGUGAUUUGGCUGUGCAUCGAAACUACGUUUUGCACAUUAGGGACUCAGUUGUAGAAGGUUUUUACAAGGCACUUCCACCUACAUGUCGUAUUGUGCAAGACGGCAGUGGAGCACAUGAAAUAUCUGAGAAAGCAUGUCUUCUACCCAUUGCUUCGCCACACAAUCUUUGCAAUUGUGACACACAAGACAUUGCAAUAAACGCUGGACGAGCCAUCAUUCUUGUGGAGAUAAAUGGUCGAUAUGAUCUUUCGCUUCCCUUGGUGACCUGCAAAUCCUGCUUAAAAACAUGGACACCUGGAUUAAAAGACCUUCAGUCCAAUGGUUACUGGCCAGGCAAUGUGGAUUUUCAGACUGUUUAUUCCACUGAUGUGUUUCACACAUUUGAGGAAUUUAAAGUCAGCGCACCGGGGUUAUCUCGACAAGCAUUUGUGAAAAUGCUUGUCGAUCGCACCAGCAACUUUGGAAGGGCAGGAAGAAUAUCUGGAGAUAGUUUCCAGCGUAGUUUCCUGGAGUGGACCUACUGCAGACAUGAGAAGGAAAAACUGUUGGCUGUUGACCAUUUCUCUUGUCCAGCCUGCAUGGAAGACAUUGCAGCAAUUUCUGUUGAUGGAAACCGCAAGAUGUACCGCUUCAAUCGGACUAAAGGGGCUGAUGAAUCUGGUUACUUUGAUGGUGCUUUUUUUUCAAAAGACAAGGAGGUUGCAGAAUUUGUGGAGGGUAUCCGGAGUCGAAUCAGACCUGUGAGUGAUGCUAUUCUUCAAUGA
Molecule: long non-coding RNA, 1564 nt
Filed under: Gadus morhua (Atlantic cod)
Lineage: Eukaryota; Metazoa; Chordata; Actinopteri; Gadiformes; Gadidae
Description: lncRNA (ENSGMOG00000030675.1)
Source: RNAcentral